Molecule: ribosomal RNA, 253 nt
Filed under: uncultured bacterium
Lineage: Bacteria
Description: partial 16S ribosomal RNA
Rfam family: Bacterial small subunit ribosomal RNA
Source: RNAcentral
UACGUAGGGGGCAAGCGUUAUCCGGAUUUACUGGGUGUAAAGGGAGCGUAGACGGUUAUGCAAGUCUGAAGUGAAAGCCCAAGGCUCAACCAUGGGACUGCUUUGGAAACUGUAAAACUGGGGUGCAGGAGAGGUAAGCGGAAUUCCUAGUGUAGCGGUGAAAUGCGUAGAUAUUAGGAGGAACACCAGUGGCGAAGGCGGCUUACUGGACUGUAACUGACGUUGAGGCUCGAAGGCGUGGGGAGCAAACAGG